Molecule: ribosomal RNA, 300 nt
Filed under: uncultured bacterium
Lineage: Bacteria
Description: bacterial SSU rRNA
Rfam family: Bacterial small subunit ribosomal RNA
Source: RNAcentral
GCCUACGGGAGGCAGCAGCCGCGGUAAUACGAAGGAUGCAAGCGUUAUCCGGAAUUAUUGGGUUUAAAGGGUGCGUAGGCGGACUAAUAAGUCAGUGGUGAAAGCCUGCAGCUUAACUGCAGAACUGCCAUUGAUACUGUUAGUCUUGAGUACAGUUGAGGUAGGCGGAAUGUGUCAUGUAGCGGUGAAAUGCUUAGAUAUGACACAGAACACCGAUUGCGAAGGCAGCUUGCUAAGCUGUAACUGACGCUGAGGCACGAAAGCGUGGGGAGCAAACAGGAUUAGAUACCCCUGUAGUCC